GAUGAACGCUAGCGGCAGGCUUAAUACAUGCAAGUCGAACGGGAUUCAGUGUAGCAAUACAUUGAUGAGAGUGGCGCACGGGUGCGUAACGCGUAUGCAACCUACCUUUAACAGGUGAAUAGCCCCGAGAAAUCGGGAUUAAUACACCGUAACAUUGCGAGAUGGCAUCAUCAUGCAAUUAAAGAUUUAUCGGUUAAAGAUGGGCAUGCGUGACAUUAGCUAGUUGGUGAGGUAACGGCUCACCAAGGCAACGAUGUCUAGGGGUCCUGAGAGGGUUAUCCCCCA
This 285-nucleotide ribosomal RNA is filed under the name uncultured Bacteroidota bacterium. RNAcentral describes it as "uncultured Bacteroidetes bacterium partial 16S ribosomal RNA". It matches the Rfam family "Bacterial small subunit ribosomal RNA", at positions 28 to 310 of the family's 1533-position model. Lineage: Bacteria; Pseudomonadati; Bacteroidota. The record is from RNAcentral.